GACGAACGCUGGCGGCGUGCCUAACACAUGCAAGUCGAACGGGGCUCUUUGGAUCGAGACUUCGGUCAAGUGAAUCUGAGCUUAGUGGCGGACGGGUGAGUAACGCGUGAGCAACCUGCCUUUCAGAGGGGGACAACAGUUGGAAACGACUGCUAAUACCGCAUAAUGUGUUUGGGGUCGAUCCCUGAAAUACCAAAGAUUUAUCGCUGAAAGAUGGGCUCGCGUCUGAUUAGCUAGUUGGUGGGGUAACGGCCUACCAAGGCGACGAUCAGUAGCCGGACUGAGAGGUUGAACGGCCACAUUGGGACUGAGAUACGGCCCAG
RNAcentral lists this ribosomal RNA (323 nucleotides) under uncultured bacterium. RNAcentral's name for it is "bacterial SSU rRNA". It matches the Rfam family "Bacterial small subunit ribosomal RNA", at positions 28 to 334 of the family's 1533-position model. The record is from RNAcentral.